RNAcentral lists this long non-coding RNA (1272 nucleotides) under Anser cygnoides (Swan goose). RNAcentral's name for it is "lncRNA (ENSACDG00005002562.1)". Lineage: Eukaryota; Metazoa; Chordata; Aves; Anseriformes; Anatidae. The record is from RNAcentral.
AUGGCAUUUUCCAGUAAAUUUGCCUCUGCUUGUUUCUGUAUACAGCAAAAGAUUAUGCCUCUGAAGAAACUUCACAUGGUAUUUGCAGCAACUGAAGCAUAUACGAACAGUGGUGGGGCAGGUGCACAACUACAAAGGCAUAGGACAUACAACAUUGGUCAGGCCCAGGCAGAUGUCCCAUCCAGAGCUGCAAUAACGCCCCCAGGCUCAUGGGUGGGUAGAGAGUCCCAGGUGAGUCUGCUCAGGACCAUUAAUGCCAGUCAGUAUUCUCAGGGCACUGAUGUCCAGUUGUGUAUCUAUCAUUCAUGUAGCUUCUUCACCAAAGGGCUUUUAUAAAGCAUACUUCAGGGUUUUCUUUUCAUCAAAGGAUUUUGCUUAGGAUUUCCUAUCGUGGUUCAAGGGCAGAAAGGAAUUUCUCUUCCUUUUAUCAGACAAAAAAAGUACUAUAUCUUUAUCGUGGACAGAAUAAUAGAAACCUUAUUGCUUUACAAAAAGAGAAAAAAAAGUAACUAACACAAAAACUAAAUUCACUGCAGCAGUUAUAAUGUAAUGACACAGUGUAAUGAAUUUCGGGUAACGCACAAAGCAACUCUGGUCAUUAAAAUCAUUUUUCAUAAUUUUAAUUGCAUUUUCUUUCAUUUAGUCCAGGUCCAGUAGAGCUCUCCACCUCUUUCUUAAAUGAGCCUCUACUGAAAAUAGAUGGCUCAGAGUUGAGGAUGAACUUGUUCAACUUGUGGAUGGAUCGGCUGUUCCUCCCUGCAUUCCGAAGUCACUGCAGACACCUGCCUGUCCCUCGGUAGGCAUUUUCCAAUGAAAAAAAAGAGGAGCAGGCAGCAAGGAAUCAAAGCUAGAUGAGCUUUUUGGUUAGUCUGAGAACCACGACUGAGCUCAUUCUUCUGCUGGUUCCUGACCAAUGAGUGCUUAUGAAUAGCAACCUUGCUAUUCUUCAUGACAACAGUUAGUAAAAAGUCACUUGAGCUUUGAAAAUGUUGCUGUUUCCCUUUCCUCUGUUGUAAUAUAAUAUUCAAAUGAUGUGACAUGCAAAUUAAAAAGGUGGGGUUUUUUUGUUCCUUUGUUUGCUUGUUCCUUUGGUUUUGUUAGGUAGUUCAAAUCAAAAUGGCAUUUGAUUUAGACUAUAAUUACUGAAUCAGGGAAAGGUUACCCCACCCAUCUGCUUGUACAAGAUGAAUAUGCUGUCAUAUCUUGUGUAGUAACUUUUAAAUAUGAGUAUUUUCAAAUAAAGAAGAAAAAGCCACAGUUAAGAGGUGAACU